AAAUUGAAGAGUUUGAUCAUGGCUCAGAUUGAACGCUGGCGGCAGGCCUAACACAUGCAAGUCGAACGGUAACAGGAAACAGCUUGCUGUUUCGCUGACGAGUGGCGGACGGGUGAGUAAUGUCUGGGAAACUGCCUGAUGGAGGGGGAUAACUACUGGAAACGGUAGCUAAUACCGCAUAAUGUCGCAAGACUAAAGAGGGGGACCUUCGGGCCUCUUGCCAUCGGAUGUGCCCAGAUGGGAUUAGCUAGUAGGUGGGGUAACGGCUCACCUAGGCGACGAUCCCUAGCUGGUCUGAGAGGAUGACCAGCCACACUGGAACUGAGACACGGUCCAGACUCCUACGGGAGGCAGCAGUGGGGAAUAUUGCACAAUGGGCGCAAGCCUGAUGCAGCCAUGCCGCGUGUAUGAAGAAGGCCUUCGGGUUGUAAAGUACUUUCAGCGGGGAGGAAG
This 453-nucleotide ribosomal RNA is filed under the name Escherichia coli. RNAcentral describes it as "partial 16S ribosomal RNA". It matches the Rfam family "Bacterial small subunit ribosomal RNA", at positions 1 to 450 of the family's 1533-position model. Lineage: Bacteria; Pseudomonadati; Pseudomonadota; Gammaproteobacteria; Enterobacterales; Enterobacteriaceae. The record is from RNAcentral. RNAcentral also lists the same sequence under 1 other name.